RNAcentral lists this ribosomal RNA (424 nucleotides) under Salmonella enterica subsp. enterica serovar Enteritidis. Its description in RNAcentral is "partial 23S ribosomal RNA". It matches the Rfam family "Bacterial large subunit ribosomal RNA", at positions 1542 to 1947 of the family's 2925-position model. The record is from RNAcentral. Lineage: Bacteria; Pseudomonadati; Pseudomonadota; Gammaproteobacteria; Enterobacterales; Enterobacteriaceae.
GGUUCACUUUAACACUGAGGCGUGACGACGAGGCACUACGGUGCUGAAGCAACAAAUGCCCUGCUUCCAGGAAAAGCCUCUAAGCAUCAGGUAACAUCAAAUCGUACCCCAAACCGACACAGGUGGUCAGGUAGAGAAUACCAAGGCGCUUGAGAGAACUCGGGUGAAGGAACUAGGCAAAAUGGUGCCGUAACUUCGGGAGAAGGCACGCUGACACGUAGGUGAAGUGAUUUACUCAUGGAGCUGAAGUCAGUCGAAGAUACCAGCUGGCUGCAACUGUUUAUUAAAAACACAGCACUGUGCAAACACGAAAGUGGACGUAUACGGUGUGACGCCUGCCCGGUGCCGGAAGGUUAAUUGAUGGGGUCAGCGCAAGCGAAGCUCCUGAUCGAAGCCCCGGUAAACGGCGGCCGUAACUAUAACG